CCUACGGGAGGCAGCAGUGAGGAAUAUUGGUCAAUGGACGAGAGUCUGAACCAGCCAAGUAGCGUGAAGGAUGACUGCCCUAUGGGUUGUAAACUUCUUUUAUAUGGGAAUAAAAUGUUCCACGUGUGGGAUUUUGUAUGUACCCUAUGAAUAAGGAUCGGCUAACUCCGUGCCAGCAGCCGCGGUAAUACGGAGGAUCCGAGCGUUAUCCGGAUUUAUUGGGUUUAAAGGGAGCGUAGGUGGAUUGUUAAGUCAGUUGUGAAAGUUUGCGGCUCAACCGUAAAAUUGCAGUGGAAACUGGCAGUCUUGAGUACAGUAGAGGUGGGCGGAAUUCGUGGUGUAGCGGUGAAAUGCUUAGAUAUCACGAAGAACUCCGAUUGCGAAGGCAGUUCACUGGACUGCAACUGACACUGAGGCUCGAAAGUGUGGGUAUCAAACAGGAUUAGAUACCCCUGUAGUC
This 460-nucleotide ribosomal RNA is filed under the name uncultured bacterium. RNAcentral's name for it is "partial 16S ribosomal RNA". It matches the Rfam family "Bacterial small subunit ribosomal RNA", at positions 338 to 795 of the family's 1533-position model. The record is from RNAcentral.